RNAcentral lists this unclassified non-coding RNA (332 nucleotides) under uncultured fungus. Its description in RNAcentral is "sequence contains ITS2". The stretch from base 1 to 52 matches the Rfam family "5.8S ribosomal RNA", at positions 103 to 154 of the family's 154-position model. Lineage: Eukaryota; Fungi. The record is from RNAcentral.
AACGCACCUUGCGCCCUUUGGUAUUCCGAAGGGCAUGCCUGUUUGAGUGUCGUGAAACUCUCAACCCCCUCGUUUUGUCAUGAAGCGGGCCGCGGGCUUGGACUGUGGUUGCUGCCGGCGCCUGUCAAAAGGAUCGGCUCGACUGAAAUAGAUUAGCGUGCCAUACACUUGGUAGCGGUAGCUCUUAUCUUUGCGUGAUAAUACAUUCGCCUAGAUUGCUACUUGCAUCACUCCGAUUGUACGGACGCCUUACAGUGCUGGACGAUGUGAAAACAUUGUUUCCUUUUACAAUCAUAGACCUCAGAUCAGGCAGGGCUACCCGCUGAACUUAA